CGCUCCGGGUCCACGCUCAUGCACACACCCACACGCCCACACUCAGGGUCU
Macaca mulatta (Rhesus monkey) is the source of this 51-nucleotide microRNA precursor. The record is from Ensembl. NCBI's taxonomy places the organism in Eukaryota, Metazoa, Chordata, Mammalia, Primates, Cercopithecidae.